Molecule: unclassified non-coding RNA, 379 nt
Filed under: uncultured Simkaniaceae bacterium
Lineage: Bacteria; Pseudomonadati; Chlamydiota; Chlamydiia; Parachlamydiales; Simkaniaceae
Description: contains 16S-23S intergenic spacer region
Source: RNAcentral
UCCUAGUUAACCUAGGCAGUCUCGCUAGAGUCCCCACCAUUACGUGCUGGUAACUAGCAACAAGGGUUGCGCUCGUUGCGGGACUUAACCCAACACCUCACGGCACGAGCUGACGACAGCCAUGCAGCACCUGUUAAGAGGCCCUUGCGGGAAACACCAUUUCUGAUGCGGUCCUCAAAAUGUCAAGCCUGGGUAAGGUUCUUCGCGUUGCAUCGAAUUAAACCACAUGCUCCACUGCUUGUGCGGGCCCCCGUCAAUUCUUUUGAGUUUCACCCUUGCGAGUGUACUCCUCAGGUGGCAUACUUAACGCGUUAGCUCCGGCACAGUUGGGGUUGAGACCAAACUACACCAAGUAUGCAUCGUUUACGGCAAGGACUAC